Molecule: long non-coding RNA, 1144 nt
Filed under: Ananas comosus (pineapple)
Lineage: Eukaryota; Viridiplantae; Streptophyta; Magnoliopsida; Poales; Bromeliaceae
Description: long non-coding RNA (ACOM_LNC023087)
Source: RNAcentral
AUAUAUAUAAUGUAUUUUAAUUAUAUAUAGGCUUUAAUUUAAUUUGGACUAUUAUUGUUGGCCCAUAAAAUAAAUCCAACAAGUACAACCGUGCAAUUGAGCCCAACUCUAAAUUUACAUAACACACUCUCUCUUUCAGACUUUCACUGUUGCACAUAACCCUAAACAUGAUAACAUUCAAAUUCUCAAAUUCCUAUUUUUUUUCCCCUCUCUCUCUCUCUCUCUCUCUCUCUCUCGUUCUCCCUUAGACCCUCACCCAAUCAGGCAGUCACCCUAGUUCACAUUUCUUGCAAUUAUUUGGUAUUUUGAACUAUUGGACAUGUUGCAUCAAAUUGUAGGUAAUGUUAAUUAAACUAUUGAUUAUAUAAUGUUGAGAAUUUCAAUUGGCUCGUUUAGAGCUCGAGCUCGGCUCCACUUGAAAUUAGGCUCGCUCGAGCUCGGCUCGAAUUAAUUUCAAGCCGAGCUUGAGCCUAGAUUUAGGCUCGAAAUUAAUUUCAAGCCGAAUUUGAGCUGACAUAAGCUCGCUCGAGCUCGGCUCGUUUCCACCCCUAGCUGCCAGUGUGUAGGGGAGAGUAUACUAGAAGCUUUUCUACGGAUUUCAAGACUAAUGGCGUAGAUGCCAUAGGGUCAAGAGUCUCUUAAAAGUUCUACGAGGACAAUAAUUGUAGUCUUUUGGAAGCUCGUGACCUCCCUCUUUGCCUUGUAGUUAUGCGCCACUUGGUAUCUUCUCAUUUAUAGCUUGUGUGACAAGUGACCUAUAUAGUUAUAACCUCCACUCUCACUUUUUAGAAAAUCAGUUGUAAUCUCUACUUUUAGACUUAGUUUGGUAUUGAGAUCUUUUUGACGCUGUUAAAUAAAAUGGAGUUAGGAAAAAAGCAUGUAAGUAUAUACUUUUGCGUUCUCCGGUGGGACUGCAAAAAAUAUAUCAUAACCGACUCAUCACAAUAUGAGGAACGCAAAAUUACAUACGGAAACAAACAUGAUAUUUUUUCAUCGUACUUUCUCACCGCACGUAACGCAAUCUUUCCGCAAUCCCAAACGAAGCCUUAAUCAAUAUACAAUAUUCCUUAAACUCUCUCUCUCUUGUACUUACUCUCAGGACGAGUAAGUUCCCACAUAAAAAGUUGAGAGAUAGACUUGCUAC